CCUUUGGAGCGUGCAGCCACCAGGUGGCAGCCGAGGCCACGGGCAGACAGAAAAGCUCCCGAAACUGAAGGACUGCCAGGCAGCAGAGUUCCGGAGGGCUCCCAGGACCUUCAACCAGAAAGAGACAGAGCAUAUGCGCAUAUGUAUGUCUGAGCCCGUGCACGGAGGAGGAGUAUGAACAGACACCGCGGGACAGAUGGCUGGACCCUGCAAGGAAUGUACUAUAGAGCCAAUUUUACCGGCAAAGGAAUGGAAGAUCUGAAAGGCUAGGCGAUCCCACAAGCAUCGAGGAGCAGGCUGGAAUUUGAACCAAUCGGCAUGAUUCCCAAGCUCAAGCUUUUGGCCACCCCUGCACUGCCAGGGACAAAAAAAAAAAAAAAAAAAAACCCUGGGAGGAGAGCCAAGCUAGGGAGUCAAGACCCUCCAGCCAGGUCUGGAUGGGAGGCAGGUGCCUCCACCCUGGUCCCAGAGCAAGUU
RNAcentral lists this long non-coding RNA (477 nucleotides) under Homo sapiens (human). RNAcentral describes it as "HSALNT0291990". The record is from RNAcentral. Lineage: Eukaryota; Metazoa; Chordata; Mammalia; Primates; Hominidae.